RNAcentral lists this ribosomal RNA (761 nucleotides) under uncultured Prevotella sp. RNAcentral's name for it is "bacterial SSU rRNA". It matches the Rfam family "Bacterial small subunit ribosomal RNA", at positions 28 to 776 of the family's 1533-position model. The record is from RNAcentral. Lineage: Bacteria; Pseudomonadati; Bacteroidota; Bacteroidia; Bacteroidales; Prevotellaceae.
GAUGAACGCUAGCUAUAGGCUUAACACAUGCAAGUCGAGGGGAAACGGCAUUAUGUGCUUGCACAUUUUGGACGUCGACCGGCGCACGGGUGAGUAUCGCGUAUCCAACCUGCCCUUUACUUGGGGAUACCCCGUUGAAAGACGGUCUAAUACCCGAUGUAAUUCAUUGAUGGCAUCAGAUAUGAAUAAAAGAUUUAUCGGUAAAGGAUGGGGAUGCGUCUGAUUAGCUUGUUGGUGAGGUAAAGGCUCACCAAGGCGACGAUCAGUAGGGGUUCUGAGAGGAAGGUCCCCCACAUUGGAACUGAGACACGGUCCAAACUCCUACGGGAGGCAGCAGUGAGGAAUAUUGGUCAAUGGGCGCAAGCCUGAACCAGCCAAGUAGCGUGCAGGAAGACGGCCCUAUGGGUUGUAAACUGCUUUUAUACGAGAAUAAUUUGAUGCACGUGUGCGUUAUUGCAUGUAUCGUAUGAAUAAGGACCGGCUAAUUCCGUGCCAGCAGCCGCGGUAAUACGGAAGGUCCAGGCGUUAUCCGGAUUUAUUGGGUUUAAAGGGAGUGUAGGCGGUUUGUUAAGCGUGUUGUGAAAUUUAGAUGCUCAACAUUUAACUUGCAGCGCGAACUGGCGAACUUGAGUGCACACAACGUAUGCGGAAUUCAUGGUGUAGCGGUGAAAUGCUUAGAUAUCAUGAAGAACUCCGAUUGCGAAGGCAGCAUACGGGAGUGUAACUGACGCUUAAGCUCGAAGGUGCGGGUAUCGAACAGG